UGAGGAACAUGACCUUCGGCGGGGGAUAGCCGGCCCAACGGCCGGGUAAUACCGCGUACGACCACAUGGGGACAUCCCUGAGUGGUGAAAGCAGCAAUGCGCCGAUGGAGUGCCUCGCGGCCUAUCAGCUAGUUGGUGAGGUAACGGCUCACCAAAGCAACGACGGGUAGCUGGUCUGAGAGGAUGGCCAGCCACAGUUGGGACUGAGACACGGCCCAGACCUGUACCGGGGA
Molecule: ribosomal RNA, 233 nt
Filed under: uncultured bacterium
Lineage: Bacteria
Description: partial 16S ribosomal RNA
Rfam family: Bacterial small subunit ribosomal RNA
Source: RNAcentral